This 541-nucleotide ribosomal RNA is filed under the name uncultured bacterium. Its description in RNAcentral is "partial 16S ribosomal RNA". The stretch from base 1 to 278 matches the Rfam family "Bacterial small subunit ribosomal RNA", at positions 266 to 541 of the family's 1533-position model. The record is from RNAcentral.
GGCCGCGUCGACGGGAGGCAGCAGUGGGGACGACCAGUCACACUGGGACUGAGACACGGUCCAGACUCCUACGGGAGGCAGCAGUGGGGAAUAUUGGACAAUGGGCGAAAGCCUGAUCCAGCCAUGCCGCGUGUGUGAAGAAGGUCUUCGGAUUGUAAAGCACUUUAAGUUGGGAGGAAGGGCAGUAAGUUAAUACCUUGCUGUUUUGACGUUACCGACAGAAUAAGCACCGGCUAACUUCGUGCCAGCAGCCGCGGUAAUACGAAGGGUGCAAGAGUAUCGAUAACUAUGGCUUUGCUAUCCGCUAAAGACUGCCCGCAGGAAUAGGUCGAAUGUGUUGCCAUUAUUUACCGCUAGUCAUCUUUAAUGUUGCUACGAGUUGCUAAAGUNUGCUGUUGAGUUGAGGUCGUGGUAUUUGUCGGCUGCGUGGAGUGUAUCGUACCCACAGCAGAUGUCGUCGUGUAGAAAGGGGUAUAGUGACAAUACUACUGUAGUCGUAAGGCGUACGUGUUCUAACGUUUUACCGUCGGACGUUAAACGG